This 393-nucleotide ribosomal RNA is filed under the name Cryptocercus matilei. RNAcentral's name for it is "partial 12S small subunit ribosomal RNA". Lineage: Eukaryota; Metazoa; Arthropoda; Insecta; Blattodea; Cryptocercidae. The record is from RNAcentral.
UAUUAUUUUUGAUGUUAAUUAUUUAACCUGAGUAGUAAUAGAUAUGGUCUUGAAACUUAAAGAAUUUGGCAGUAUUUUAUUCUGUUUAGAGGAACCUGUUCUUUUAUCGAUAAUCCUCGUUGGACCUUACUUAAUUUAUUGAUUUGUAUACCGCCGUUGUAUUGAGAAUCUUUGUAGUGUUUUUAAUUUUCUGGAUUUUAUUUUAAAUUAUUUCAGGUCAAGGUGCAAUUUAUGGUUAAGUAGAAAUGGGUUACGUUUAUAUGUAUUUUUGGAUUAUUAAAUGAAAUUUUAAUGUGAAAUUGGAUUUGAAUGUAAUUAUUAUUUUAGAUUGUAAUAAUGAUUUAGUUUCUAGAGUGUGUACACAUCGCCCGUCACUCUCGUUAUUUAUUCGAG